RNAcentral lists this ribosomal RNA (1671 nucleotides) under marine metagenome. RNAcentral describes it as "bacterial LSU rRNA". It matches the Rfam family "Bacterial large subunit ribosomal RNA", at positions 1215 to 2925 of the family's 2925-position model. The record is from RNAcentral.
CAGAUGAUGUAGGGUAGAGGAGCGUUCCGCCCAGGGGGAAGCCAAGCGCGUAAGCCGCGGUGGACAGGGCGGAAGUGAGAAUGUCAGCUUGAGUAACGCAAACAUUGGUGAGAAUCCAGUGCCCCGAAAACUCAAGGGUUCCUGCGCAAGGCUCGUCCGCGCAGGGUCAGUCAGGACCUAAGGUGAGGCCGAAAGGCGUAAUUGAUGGCAAGAAGGUUUAUAUUCCUUCACUAGUCUAGGCUUAGUCCUGAGGGACGAACAAAUAACACUCGGCACAAUGGCCUUCCAUGGUAGGAAGGGUCAAACCAUUGUUGUUUGAUGGUAUUUUUUCCAAGAAAAGCUCAUUCGACUUUGAGUCUAGACUACCUGUACCGUAAACCGACACAGGUGAGUGGGUUGAAUAAACUAAGGGGAGCGAGAUAACUCUCUCUAAGGAACUCGGCAAAUUGGCUCUGUACCUUCGGAAGAAAGAGUGCCCCUUCAUGGGGCCGCAGUGAAGAGAUCCAGGCGACUGUUUACCAAAAACACAGGUCUCCGCAAAGUCGUAAGACGACGUAUGGGGGCUGACACCUGCCCAGUGCCAGAAGGUUAAAGAAGUUGGUCAAUCUUUGAUGAAGCUAACGACUGAAGCCCUGGUGAACGGCGGCAGUAACUAUAACUGUCCUAAGGUAGCGAAAUUCCUUGUCGGGUAAGUUCCGACCCGCACGAAAGGUGUAACGAUCUGGAUACUGUCUCAGAGAGAGACUCGGUGAAAUAAAACUAUCUGUGAAGAUGCGGAUUACCUGCACACGGACAGAAAGACCCUAUGAAGCUUUACUGUAACCUGGAAUUGCUCUCAAGCUUAUCUUGCGCAGCUUAGGUGGGAGGCUAUGAACCUUUUCUUCUGGGAAGAGGGGAGCCAUCAGUGAGAUACCACUCUUGGUAAGCUAGAGCGCUCAGUCUUCACCGUCAUCCGGUAAGACGACAGUUUCAGGCGGGCAGUUUGACUGGGGCAGUCACCUCCCAAAAGGUAAUGGAGGUGUGCAAAGGUUCCCUCAGGCUGGACGGAAAUCAGCCAUAGAGUGUAAAAGCAAAAGGGAGCUUGACUGCGAGACUGACAUGUCAAGCAGAGACGAAAGUCGGCUUUAGUGAUCCGACGGUGCUGUGUGGAAAGGCCGUCGCUCAACGGAUAAAAGUUACUCUAGGGAUAACAGGCUAAUCUCCCCCAAGAGUUCACAUCGACGGGGAGGUUUGGCACCUCGAUGUCGGCUCGUCGCAUCCUGGAGCGGAAGUACGUUCCAAGGGUUGGGCUGUUCGCCCAUAGAAAGCGGCACGCGAGCUGGGUUCAGAACGUCGUGAGACAGUUUGGUCCAUAUCCUGUGUAGGCGUUUAGAGCAUUGAAAGGAUCUCCCCUUUGUACGAGAGGACCAGGUGGGGACAGACCGCUAGUGUACCAGUUAUCCCACCAGGGGUAAACGCUGGGUAGCUAUGUCUGGAGUAAAUAACUGCUGAAAGCAUAUAAGUAGGAAGUUCACCUUAAGAUGAGUGCUCUUUUGUCUCAACCGUUCAGUUUUACUGACAAAUGAAAGACAAGGAAGGUCACGGCAAGACGAGCCGUUUGAUAGGCAUGAAGUAGAAGUGCAGUAAUGCAUUCUGAAGCUGACAUGUGCUAAUAGACCGAGGGAUUUGAUU